UGGGGGAUAUUGCACAAUGGGCGAAAGCCUGAUGCAGCGACGCCGCGUGGGGGAUGAAGGCCUUCGGAUUGUAAACUUCUUUUGCUCUGAACAAGGCAUGCUAAUGGGUGUGUUGAGUGUAGGGGUUGAUUAGCGCCGGCUAACUACGUGCCAGCAGCCGCGGUAAUACGUAGGGCGCGAGCGUUGUCCGGAAUUAUUGGGCGUAAAGGGCUUGUAGGUGGCUGGUUGCGUCUGUCGUGAAAGCUCAUGGCUUAACUGUGGGUUUGCGGUGGGUACGGGCUGGCUUGAGUGCAGUAGGGGAGGCUGGAAUUCCUGGUGUAGCGGUGGAAUGCGCAGAUAUCAGGAGGAAUACCGGUGGCGAAGGCGGGUCUCUGGGCUGUUACUGACACUGAGGAGCGAAAGCAUGGGGAGCGAACAGG
Molecule: ribosomal RNA, 419 nt
Filed under: bacterium
Lineage: Bacteria
Description: partial 16S ribosomal RNA
Rfam family: Bacterial small subunit ribosomal RNA
Source: RNAcentral